GACGAACGCUGGCGGCGUGCCUAACACAUGCAAGUCGAGGGUUUUAGUAGUAAUACGAAGAACACUGGCGCACGGGUGAGUAACGCGUAGAUCAUCUGCCCCUAACACUGACAUAACAGUUCUAACGGACUGCUAAUAUCAGAUGUGAUAAGCAAUUAUUAAAGGGUAACCGGUUAGGGAUGAGUCUGCGUCUGAUUAGGUAGUUGGUGAGGUAACGGCUCACCAAGCCUACGAUCAGUAACUGGUCUGAGAGGGCGGAACAGUCACACUGGAACUGAGACACGGUCCAGACUCCUACGGGAGGCAGCAGUGAGGAAU
This 318-nucleotide ribosomal RNA is filed under the name uncultured bacterium. RNAcentral's name for it is "bacterial SSU rRNA". It matches the Rfam family "Bacterial small subunit ribosomal RNA", at positions 28 to 362 of the family's 1533-position model. The record is from RNAcentral.